This 253-nucleotide ribosomal RNA is filed under the name uncultured bacterium. Its description in RNAcentral is "partial 16S ribosomal RNA". It matches the Rfam family "Bacterial small subunit ribosomal RNA", at positions 524 to 776 of the family's 1533-position model. The record is from RNAcentral.
UACGUAGGAGGCGAGCGUUGUCCGGAUUUACUGGGCGUAAAGAGCGCGCAGGUGGCAUGUCAAGUACUCAGUGAAAUCUCCUUGCUCAACGGGGAGGGUGCUGAGUAGACUGGCAAGCUAGAGGACGGUAGAGGGGGGUAGAAUUGCUGGUGUAGCGGUGAAAUGCGUAGAGAUCAGCAGGAAUACCCGUGGCGAAGGCGGCCCCCUGGGCCGUACCUGACGCUGAGGCGCGAAGGCUAGGGGAGCGAACGGG